This 301-nucleotide ribosomal RNA is filed under the name uncultured bacterium. RNAcentral describes it as "partial 16S ribosomal RNA". It matches the Rfam family "Bacterial small subunit ribosomal RNA", at positions 509 to 808 of the family's 1533-position model. The record is from RNAcentral.
CAGCAGCCGCGGUAAUACGGAGGGUGCAAGCGUUAAUCGGAAUUACUGGGCGUAAAGCGCACGCAGGCGGUUUGUUAAGUCAGGUGUGAAAUCCCCGAGCUUAACUCGGGAACUGCAUUUGAAACUGGCAAGCUAGAGUCUUGUAGAGGGGGGUAGAAUUCCAGGUGUAGCUGUGAAAUGCGUAGAGAUCUGGAGGAAUACCGGUGGCGAAGGCGGCCCCCUGGACAAAGACUGACGCUCAGGUGCGAAAGCGUGGGGAGCAAACAGGAUUAGAUACCCCCGUAGCCCUGUCUCUUAUACC